RNAcentral lists this ribosomal RNA (1372 nucleotides) under uncultured bacterium. RNAcentral's name for it is "bacterial SSU rRNA". It matches the Rfam family "Bacterial small subunit ribosomal RNA", at positions 28 to 1381 of the family's 1533-position model. The record is from RNAcentral.
GAUGAACGCUGGCGGCGUGCCUAAUACAUGCAAGUCGAGCGAACGGACGAGAAGCUUGCUUCUCUGAUGUUAGCGGCGGACGGGUGAGUAACACGUGGAUAACCUACCUAUAAGACUGGGAUAACUUCGGGAAACCGGAGCUAAUACCGGAUAAUAUUUUGAACCGCAUGGUUCAAAAGUGAAAGACGGUCUUGCUGUCACUUAUAGAUGGAUCCGCGCUGCAUUAGCUAGUUGGUAAGGUAACGGCUUACCAAGGCAACGAUGCAUAGCCGACCUGAGAGGGUGAUCGGCCACACUGGAACUGAGACACGGUCCAGACUCCUACGGGAGGCAGCAGUAGGGAAUCUUCCGCAAUGGGCGAAAGCCUGACGGAGCAACGCCGCGUGAGUGAUGAAGGUCUUCGGAUCGUAAAACUCUGUUAUUAGGGAAGAACAUAUGUGUAAGUAACUGUGCACAUCUUGACGGUACCUAAUCAGAAAGCCACGGCUAACUACGUGCCAGCAGCCGCGGUAAUACGUAGGUGGCAAGCGUUAUCCGGAAUUAUUGGGCGUAAAGCGCGCGUAGGCGGUUUUUUAAGUCUGAUGUGAAAGCCCACGGCUCAACCGUGGAGGGUCAUUGGAAACUGGAAAACUUGAGUGCAGAAGAGGAAAGUGGAAUUCCAUGUGUAGCGGUGAAAUGCGCAGAGAUAUGGAGGAACACCAGUGGCGAAGGCGACUUUCUGGUCUGUAACUGACGCUGAUGUGCGAAAGCGUGGGGAUCAAACAGGAUUAGAUACCCUGGUAGCCCACGCCGUAAACGAUGAGUGCUAAGUGUUAGGGGGUUUCCGCCCCUUAGUGCUGCAGCUAACGCAUUAAGCACUCCGCCUGGGGAGUACGACCGCAAGGUUGAAACUCAAAGGAAUUGACGGGGACCCGCACAAGCGGUGGAGCAUGUGGUUUAAUUCGAAGCAACGCGAAGAACCUUACCAAAUCUUGACAUCCUUUGACAACUCUAGAGAUAGAGCUUUCCCCUUCGGGGGACAAAGUGACAGGUGGUGCAUGGUUGUCGUCAGCUCGUGUCGUGAGAUGUUGGGUUAAGUCCCGCAACGAGCGCAACCCUUAAGCUUAGUUGCCAUCAUUAAGUUGGGCACUCUAAGUUGGCUGCCGGUGACAAACCGGAGGAAGGUGGGGAUGACGUCAAAUCAUCAUGCCCCUUAUGAUUUGGGCUACACACGUGCUACAAUGGACAAUACAAAGGGCAGCGAAACCGCGAGGUCAAGCAAAUCCCAUAAAGUUGUUCUCAGUUCGGAUUGUAGUCUGCAACUCGACUACAUGAAGCUGGAAUCGCUAGUAAUCGUAGAUCAGCAUGCUACGGUGAAUACGUUCCCGGGUCU